AUGCUAACUAGUGAAAUGGGUGCUUUUUAUGUACUUUUUAUACUACUAAUCUUCUCCAAUUCUGGAUUUCUGUGUAUUGCUGGUGGUUUAUUAAAUUUCACAAGUUCGCCUUCUUCGUCUCAUAAAAAUCUGUCUGGAAAUAGAAACACUGAGUUGGAAGACAAGAGAGGUGUGCCAUCAGGAGCUAAUCCUUUGCAUAAUCGGUAA
Molecule: non-coding RNA, 207 nt
Organism: Vicia faba (fava bean)
Lineage: Eukaryota; Viridiplantae; Streptophyta; Magnoliopsida; Fabales; Fabaceae
Source: the annotation of a GenBank genome assembly